RNAcentral lists this ribosomal RNA (711 nucleotides) under Mycotribulus indonesiae. Its description in RNAcentral is "LSU rRNA". It matches the Rfam family "Eukaryotic large subunit ribosomal RNA", at positions 90 to 793 of the family's 3401-position model. The record is from RNAcentral. Lineage: Eukaryota; Fungi; Basidiomycota; Agaricomycetes; Agaricales; Physalacriaceae.
CGAGUGAAGAGGGAAAAGCUCAAAUUUAAAAUCUGGCAGCUUCGCUGUCCGAGUUGUAAUUUAGAGAAGUGUUGCCCGUGUUGGACCGUGUAUAAGUCUCCUGGAAUGGUGCGUCAUAGAGGGUGAGAAUCCCGUCUUUGACACGGACUACCAAUACAUUGUGGUACGCUCUCAAAGAGUCGUGUUGUUUGGGAAUGCAGCACUAAAUGGGUGGUAAAUUCCAUCUAAAGCUAAAUAUUGGCGAGAGACCGAUAGCGAACAAGUACCGUGAGGGAAAGAUGAAAAGAACUUUGGAAAGAGAGUUAAACAGUACGUGAAAUUGUUGAAAGGGAAACGUUUGAAGUCAGUCGCGUCGGCUGGGAAUCAGUCUUGCUUUUGCUUGAUGUACUUUCUAGUCGACGGGUCAGCAUCAGUUUUGACUGCUGGAUAAAGGUUGAGGGAAUGUGGCACCUUCGGGUGUGUUAUAGCCCUUGGUCAUAUACAGUGGUUGGGACUGAGGUACUCAGCACGCCGCAAGGCCGGGUUUCGACCACGUUCGUGCUUAGGAUGCUGGCAUAAUGGCUUUAAGCGACCCGUCUUGAAACACGGACCAAGGAGUCUAACAUGCCUGCGAGUAUUUGGGUGGAAAACCCGAGUGCGUAAUGAAAGUGAAAGUUGAGAACUCUUUAGAGUGCAUCGACGCCCGGACCAGACGUUUUCUGACGGAUCCGC